This 799-nucleotide ribosomal RNA is filed under the name uncultured bacterium. RNAcentral's name for it is "bacterial SSU rRNA". It matches the Rfam family "Bacterial small subunit ribosomal RNA", at positions 382 to 1168 of the family's 1533-position model. The record is from RNAcentral.
GAUUACGAUGCGACGCCGCGUGAGGGAUGAAGGCUUUCGGGUUGUAAACCGCUGUGUUAUGGGAAGAAUCGCUAGUUGGUGAUAAGCCAGUUAGCUUGACGGUACCAUAGUAGAAAGCCCCGGCUAACUCACGUGCCAGCAGCCGCGGUAAUACGUGGGGGGCUAGCGUUGUCCGGAAUUACUGGGCGUAAAGCGCGCGUAGGCGGCCAUAUCAGUCAUGUGUGAAAUUGCUUGGCUCAACCAAGCAACUGUGCUUGAUACUGUAUGGCUUGAGUACGGAAGAGGAAAGUGGAAUACACGGUGUAGCGGUGAAAUGCGUAGAUAUCGUAUAGAACACCAGUGGCGAAGGCGGCUUUCUAGUCUGAUACUGACGCUGAGGUGCGAAAAGUCUGGGGAGCAAACGGGAUUAGAUACCCCGGUAGUCCAGACCGUAAACGAUGGGUACUAAGUGUAGGGAAUGUUUAUAUUCUCUGUGCUGUAGCUAACGCAUUAAGUACCUCGCCCGGGGAGUACGGCCGCAAGGUUAAAACUCAAGGUAAUUGACGGGGGGCCGCACAAGCGGUGGAGCAUGUCGCUUAAUUCGAAGCAACGCGAAGAACCUUUAUCCAGGGCUUGACAUCUUAGUGACCGCCAUAGAAAUAUGGUUUUCCUUCGGGACACUAUGACAGGUGCUGCAUGGCUGUCGUCAGCUCGUGUCGUGAGACGUUGGGUUAAGUCCCGCGACGAGCGCGACCCUUGUCUUUAGUUGCCAUCAGGUAAUGCUGGGGACUCUAAAGAGACCGCUGGUGACGAGCCAAUC